AGUGAACGCUGGCGGUAGGCCUAACACAUGCAAGUCGAACGGCAGCACAGUAAGAGCUUGCUCUUACGGGUGGCGAGUGGCGGACGGGUGAGGAAUACAUCGGAAUCUACUUUUUCGUGGGGGAUAACGUAGGGAAACUUACGCUAAUACCGCAUACGACCUACGGGUGAAAGCAGGGGAUCUUCGGACCUUGCGCGAUUGAAUGAGCCGAUGUCGGAUUAGCUAGUUGGCAGGGUAAAGGCCCACCAAGGCGACGAUCCGUAGCUGGUCUGGGAGGAUGGACAGCCACACUAGCACUGAGACACGUUCCAGACUCCAACGGCAGGCAGCAGUGUGGAAUAUUCGACAAUGUGCGCAAGCCUGAUCCAGCCAUACCGCGUAAGUCAGGAAGGCCUUCUGUUUGUAGAGCCCUUUUUUUCGGAAAUAAAAGCAGCGCAUUAAUACCCCGCUUUUCUGACGGUACCCAAAGAAUAAGCACCGGCUAACUUCGUG
RNAcentral lists this ribosomal RNA (492 nucleotides) under uncultured bacterium. Its description in RNAcentral is "partial 16S ribosomal RNA". It matches the Rfam family "Bacterial small subunit ribosomal RNA", at positions 29 to 507 of the family's 1533-position model. The record is from RNAcentral.